GGUAGUCCGUCACUAGUCGUUCCGGACUACAGGGAUUGACUUGCUUAUUGCUGGGUUAUGAUAGGCGUCAUCAUGACCUGUGAAAUUGGGUCGUGACACACAGUCCUUGCAACCUCAAAUACCAACAAUUUUUCUCUUAACGACAUACUUCUCGCAGGACUCAUAGAAGUACUUGUUGUGCCGACUGACUUACAUCUUCUUGAUCCGCUUCCUCAAUCUGGCACCAUAACGUGUAUUAUACUUUUGAUAAUUCUAGCCUUCUUGAUUCGCUUGGUCAUUUUUGACUAGCUGUUGAAAAACCUUGAGAUCUUAUGGAAGAGAAAGACGCCGCAACAGCUACAAUAAAACCCUAAAUUUUGUUGAGGAGCUUGAAGCGGUAGAAAAGUGGGAUAAAGAAAAGAGGGUGGGUGGACGAAGGAAGUUAUCAAACCUUUUUUUAAAAUAAAAAUAAAAAUUGUUCUUUUAUUUAAUUUAGUUAUUUUUAAUCAAAAAACUUAUGAUAUGCGUCAUAUCACGCGUUUAUUUCAAUUCAAUCAUUAAGUUACCACAUAAACUUGGGUUUAAUUGACAAAGUGCUUAAUAGAGUUGUCCACAUUAACAAGUUCCAUAGAUCAUUUUGCCUAAUUUUCUACCACUGAUUUUUCUCCGGGGUAAGCGCAAGGUUUUAUCAUGCGGUAUGUUUUGGGUCGCACAUUUCAGUUUAAAUUGGAUUCGGUUCCGGUAUCAUUCACUUUUUCUAUUUAAAAGAGGUGUAUUAGCAGAUUCCGGAGGAUAAAGAAAGUAUGAGUGUAUUUUGAGGAGAUAGCUGGGCGAGGGAAGCUCAAUAUAGGAAGAGAAGAAUCGAUGAAUUGAUGGUUGACAGCAUCCACUCUUCUACUUGUAAGAAACUCUACAGCGGCAAAUUAGCCUGUUUCGUUUGCCCUCACCGUCCUGUCCUCGACCCCCCCCCCCCCGUACGUACAUAUCUUAACAUAACCCUGAUUUUGGUUAUAUUGAUUAUCAUAUCUUCUGAAAAUAAUAUAAAAGAUUGAUCUUGGAUCUAAUUUCUUUUUUUGUUGACCCUGGUGUUGGAGUUAACUUUUGUGCACCUCGACUAGUUCUACGAGAUACAUGGCAGCUCCCACUAGCAAUAGGUACAUGUGAAAGGUUCAAGCCAUCGAGCAGCAGAGUCAAGGCUUAGAGAAAGAGAAUUAAGGAGGCAAACUGAGAUAAACAAGAGAAUAGCCUUGUCAGGAUGUGAUACUGCCACCUCGAGAACCUUGACAUCCAUCCAGUUAUGUAGAUCAGCAAGCAAACCAUUGAUUGAACGCACAAGGAAAGAUGCGUCUGACAUACUUCUUCAAAAUUUGGCACAAAGUACUGCUUCUCAAGUGGAUGAGAGUAGUGUAGCUGAUGGAGGAAAUAGUUAAUGUGUUCAGAUAGGAGUCUCAACAAAUCCAACUAUCAUGCCUCUGGCAUAAAACCAGGAAUGACUCGUGAAGGAGCUUAAGUUCACAUCUGCUGGCUGGAAGCGUGAUGGCCAUGGGAGGUGGUUUAAGGAUGAAAGUGUGAGUUUUUAAUUUGAUGCAUGAACCAGUGAUAGAAAGUGUGAGUUUUUAAUUUGAUGCAUGGAACCAGUGAUGGAACUUUUCUCUUGGUGCUUCUUAAGCAACAUUUUUCUUGUAUUACUUGACUAUGACUAGAGAUUUAUCACUUCAAUUGGUGUUUAAUCAAUUCUCUAUUAAAGCAAUUUUUUAAAUUGAA
Molecule: RNA transcript, 1743 nt
Organism: Capsicum annuum
Lineage: Eukaryota; Viridiplantae; Streptophyta; Magnoliopsida; Solanales; Solanaceae
Exons: 2
Source: RefSeq, a predicted model, not a curated record